CGGCCGCCAUCCCAUCUGGGAAGUGAGGAGCAUCUCUGCCCGGCCGCCCAUCGUCUGAGAUGUGGGGAGCACCUCUGCCCUGCCACCCCGUCCGGGAUGUGAGGAGCGUCUCUGCCCGGCCGCCCCAUCUGAGAAGUGAGGAGCCCCUCCGCCCGGCAGCCGCCCCGUCUGAGAAGUGAGGAGCCCCUCCGCCCAGCAGCCACCCCGUCUGGGAAGUGAGGAGCGUCUCCGCCCGGCAGCCACCUCGUCCGGGAGGGAGGUGGGGGGG
RNAcentral lists this long non-coding RNA (268 nucleotides) under Homo sapiens (human). RNAcentral's name for it is "HSALNT0278206". Lineage: Eukaryota; Metazoa; Chordata; Mammalia; Primates; Hominidae. The record is from RNAcentral.